UACGUAGGGUGCAAGCGUUGUCCGGAAUUAUUGGGCGUAAAGAGCUCGUAGGCGGUUUGUCGCGUCGAAUGUGAAAACCCAGGGCUCAACCCUGGGCCUGCAUUCGAUACGGGCAGACUAGAGUUCGGUAGGGGAGACUGGAAUUCCUGGUGUAGCGGUGAAAUGCGCAGAUAUCAGGAGGAACACCGGUGGCGAAGGCGGGUCUCUGGGCCGAAACUGACGCUGAGGAGCGAAAGCGUGGGGAGCAAACAGG
RNAcentral lists this ribosomal RNA (253 nucleotides) under uncultured bacterium. Its description in RNAcentral is "partial 16S ribosomal RNA". It matches the Rfam family "Bacterial small subunit ribosomal RNA", at positions 524 to 776 of the family's 1533-position model. The record is from RNAcentral.